RNAcentral lists this ribosomal RNA (303 nucleotides) under Triticum aestivum (bread wheat). Its description in RNAcentral is "partial small subunit ribosomal RNA". Lineage: Eukaryota; Viridiplantae; Streptophyta; Magnoliopsida; Poales; Poaceae. The record is from RNAcentral.
AUGCAAUCUGAUUGGGGUGGGGAAUACGAGAAGCUCAAUUCUUUUUUUCAGAAGAUUGGCAUUUCCCAUCAUGUCUCAUGCCCCCAUGCGCACCAGCAAAAUGGGUCAGCCGAACGCAAGCACCGCCACAUCAUUGAAGUAGGACUAGCUCUCCUUGCUUCCGCCUCCAUGCCACUAAAAUUUUGGGAUGAAGCGUUUCUUACCGCUGUGCAUCUGAUCAACAUGUGGCCUAGUCGUGUCAUCUCUAAUGAGACCCCCACUGAGCGUCUUUUGCAUAUCACACCGGACUACACCACUCUUUGA